ACACUCCUGCGGGAGGCAGCAGUGGGGAAUUUUGGACAAUGGGCGAAAGCCUGAUCCAGCAAUGCCGCGUGAGUGAAGAAGGCCUUCGGGUUGUAAAGCUCUUUUGUCAGGGAAGAAACGGUGAGAGCUAAUAUCUCUUGCUAAUGACGGUACCUGAAGAAUAAGCACCGGCUACCUACGUGCCAGCAGCCGCGGUAAUACGUAGGGUGCAAGCGUUAAUCGGAAUUACUGGGCGUAAAGCGUGCGCAGGCGGUUUUGUAAGUCUGAUGUGAAAUCCCCGGGCUCAACCUGGGAAUUGCAUUGGAGACUGCAAGGCUAGAAUCUGGCAGAGGGGGGUAGAAUUCCACGUGUAGCAGUGAAAUGCGUAGAUAUGUGGAGGAACACCGAUGGCGAAGGCAGCCCCCUGGGUCAAGAUUGACGCUCAUGCACGAAAGCGUGGGGAGCAAACAGGAUUAGAAACCCUGGUAGUCCCAUGA
RNAcentral lists this ribosomal RNA (476 nucleotides) under uncultured organism. RNAcentral's name for it is "partial 16S ribosomal RNA". It matches the Rfam family "Bacterial small subunit ribosomal RNA", at positions 333 to 800 of the family's 1533-position model. The record is from RNAcentral.